Long non-coding RNA from Xiphophorus hellerii (green swordtail), 3880 nucleotides. RefSeq lists it as uncharacterized. The record is from RefSeq and is a predicted model, not a curated record. NCBI's taxonomy places the organism in Eukaryota, Metazoa, Chordata, Actinopteri, Cyprinodontiformes, Poeciliidae. The transcript is spliced from 2 exons.
AAGACUCACACCCCGACCUCCAUCUUUAAUCGCCUCCUGCUUUGGCUUUGCUCGUCCUCAGCUUCAAACCCAGCGUCGGUGACAAACAGGUCAGAUUUAAGAAAAAUUAACCGAACCACUCUGAAGGAAAAUGAUAAAAAUCAAUCAUCAAAGAUUUUAUUACUAUUACAAAACUAUACUACUACUCAGAGCGCAGUAGUAGCAGUUGCUUUAUAAAUAAAUAUAAAUGACUACUCCGUCUAGUUAUUCAUGUCAAUGAUAAUAAUAAUUAUAUUUAGCACAAAAAACACUAAACAUAAUAAUAAUCAUAUUAAUAAUAACAAUGUACUGUAUGUUUGAUUACUUUUAAUAUCUACUACUUCUAUUACAAAGGCAACUUAUACUUCUAUUUACUUAAACUAUAGCUACUAAUGCAACUUCUACUACCACUACUUCAACUUCUACUUCUACUACUACUAUAAUAAUAAUAAUAAUAAUAAUAAUAAUAAUAAUAAUAAAACCACUAUGGCAAUUUAAUUUUAGAGCAUGAGCAACACAUUCAGUUCAGUUUCAUUAAUGAAACAUAAUGAACUUACAACAUUAUCACAAUUCUUAAGCAGUGAUCAGCAAAUUGUUUAACUUUUAAUUAAAGACAACACUAACACAUAGAGUUGAUGACAGCAGUUUUAUUAAACAUCAUCCUGAAUUUAGGGGCAGCAUAAAGAACAGAAACAAAACAUAAGUCAAGAAAUAAUUAGAUUUACUUUCAAAAGUUUAACUGAUUUAGUGGAAAGGGAAUCUCUCUAGAUGGUUUUACUGUCAGACCCCUGAGUUACACUAAAAACACAUUUAGCCAUGAAAAGAGACAAAUUAAUUACAGUUCACUAUUGAUCAUCAUCAGUUUGCACAAUUGUACAACCACAAUGUACAUCACUGCUAAAUGUUGGAAAAUGUCUUUGGCAAAUUCUGUACCUACCUGAGCCCAUUCAAACAGCAUCAUCCACAAUUAUCAGCGUCACUGGAUAUUAAAGAUAAGAUUUAAACUGGAAUUCAAAAGUAACAUCUGAAGAGCCAUUUUUUACUUUGAAGAUCAAAAUCAAAAUAUCAUAUACUGUCCCUGGUGGAAAAAAAUCUAUGUCUCCCACGACCACAGGUGGAUAAAAUCCAGCACCUUGCAGACGGCUUCAACAAAUAUUUGUUAACGUGUCAAAUGCACAAAGAACAGAGCAUAACAAUUAAUUAGAAACAAAAAGCAAAUAGAUGAAACUAUAUGACAUCACUGUUAAAACAAUAAAGAACUCAAGCAAACAUAAAUAAACAACAACAAAAAUGGUCAAAACACAGACACCUGCCCUCUGACCUCAACCCAUAGUGUUGGCGUUCUCGUCCAACAUCAGUGUCUGACCUCACUGAUACUCCUCUGAAAGAAUGGUCAACAUUUCUCUUAAAGAUUGUGGAAAAUAUUCCAGGACGAGUUUAAGCUGUAAAAGUGAGUUCUGGUAUGAAAUCCUACAGAUUAAGAAGGAAAUGUUUCUCAUGUUCAGACCUGUGGAAAGGCAAAUUAUUGAAUUACUUGGCAGUAAAGUUAAUGCAUGGUUUCUUAAAUAUGUAAAAAAAAAAAUAGAUAAAAAAAAGUACAUGAUUUUUAUUCUAAUGAAUACUUUAAAAACCUGAAACUGAAUUCCUGUCACGACCUAUGAAGUUCAAAUCACCUUUCUGAAACUUAAUGCAACUUAAGUAAUUCAGAGUAUGAACAUGAAAACAUGAAAUACCUGACAUCCCAAUGAAACUGGUGUGUAAACCAAUGUUUUUGUUCCCUUUGAAGUGAUUUGCAUCAUCAGUUCUUGACUUUUCUUAGAUUGGGCAGAAAAAGAGUAAAAAGCAACCAUAACGUUCAGCAUCGAUCAAUAGUUUAAGCUAUAUGAGAUAGUUUAGCUCCACGGAAACAAAAUAUAAACAAUCAGAGAUGAGUUAAUAUUUUUACACGGUAUCAGCACACUGUUUAUUCAUAAACAACUACUUUUGAUUUAUGAACAGCAUAAAUCAGCUGUUUGCUUCAGGUAACAGAUUCUUUCAAUUUAUUAACAUUUUUAUCAGAUUUGGCUCCAUAACUUCAGAGAAGCGUAAUGCGACGUCUGCUCAUUUGGCUGCUGACACUUCAAGCCAAACAGCAGCUUUGAACAGACAUCUCGCGUUCACAACAACAAGCAGACGAUCGGGCGACGAUUUCGCCCCGGAGCUUUGGACCUUCAGAGGGGAGAAUGUGGCGUGACUGAACAAGCAGGGCAGGGGCUCGUUUCACCCGCAGAGAGCAGCCUGGACGUGCACAGAGUGGCUCCUCCUGGGACAAAUCCACUCACACACACUCACUUUACAGGUGUGUGUCUGUUACUCCAGAGGACCUGCAGAAAGUUCCAGGAAAUGUAUUCUAAUGCGAAUCUCACCGCUACUGCUGUUUUAUUCAGACUUGCCAACAGAGUUGCCCUCAGAGUUUCAUCAUCCAAACAGGUUUAUGUCCCAACAGUGUGAGUUACGCCAUGCAGGACCACACACAGCAGCAGUCACUGAAGACCAGUCCAGGCUUGCUGUGAGCUACUCCCAGAAACCCAGCUAGCACCAUGACACACACAAAAUGUCACAAAUAAUGCAGCCAGGAAAAUUUCAGAAAGCUCUACCAAAAGAUGUAUCAUUAUUUUGUUUUUAUGUGCAGAAUGGUGUCAGAAUGACGCCAGCCGGUGACCAGGAACCUUUAGGCCGAGAAUGUCUUAUUUAUCAUUUAUAGUAAAUUUUGAUUUGGAUCCAGAUUAAAAAGUACGACACUAAUAAAACCACCAACUGAAUCCACUGAGUCAGGAUGACUUUCCCCAGACACUGAACGCCUCACAGGUGCACCUGCAAAAACAAAACAAUUUAGACCCCAACAUUUGUAAAAAAAAAUAAAUAAAUAAAAUAAAAAACAUCUCUUGUACAUGGACCAUGAGCCCAGGUACUCCACAAGGCUGUGUGCUCAGCCCACUCAUAUUGUACAGAAGCGGCACAAAGACAGGAGGUAAAAUCAUGAAGGAACCCAGCUGCCGAGGUUUUUCAGAAACACUUCCUGCAGUGAGUCAGGUUAAAAGACAUCAUAAAACUGUCACUGAACGCCUGCUCUGAACUCUAGACGUGGCUCCAGCUCACAAACAUUUUCCUUUCUGGUCACAGGUCAAACCUCAGGUCCAAAACUUUCAAUUUUGCACUUGAUCAAAAAUCUCACAUCAUUUAGGCAUUAAGUUAGCUAUUUUUAAUUUGAUUAGUUUUAUUAAUCCUUCUUUCAACAUACAACACAAUCCACAGAUCUUGUCUAAGACAUUAAUAUGUAAAGCACCCAUCUGUUUGCAGUUUAAUGUUUUUGAUUUUUAUUGGAUAUGUAAUUUGUUUUUACUCUGAAGCCUUUAUUUUCUUAACAAAUAAAUAAUAAACAUGUAUGCUUAUUGUACUUAUAUUUGUCAUUAUUACCACAAUGAAUCAAUCAAGUUUAUUUAUAUAGAACAUUUCAGCAACAAGGCAGUCCAAAGUGCUUGACAUCAUAAAAAUACAAAGUCAUAGAAAACAUUGCACAGUAACAAACAUUACAUUUUGAUGAGUGCAAUGUAACAGCAUAAUGCUGUGGUGAUUUUAUUUAUCUAUAUAUAUUUUUUUAGAAAUGACAGGGAAGCUGAUCAGACCAGAUGGGAAGAUGUACAAAUACAGAGCGACUGGGAAAACUGCCUUAAAACUGUUUUACUCUUUUCAGACAUACUUUAAUCCAAAAAGAAGUCGGUUAGCCUUUGCAAAAUGCAAAUUCAGAGUAAAUGUCAGAGCUUUUCUACAAGCAGUAUUAUUCAGCAACUUUGUUUCUCUCAGAUAUUUUAAUGAAAACAAA